Long non-coding RNA from Nelumbo nucifera (sacred lotus), 641 nucleotides. RefSeq lists it as uncharacterized. The record is from RefSeq and is a predicted model, not a curated record. Lineage: Eukaryota; Viridiplantae; Streptophyta; Magnoliopsida; Proteales; Nelumbonaceae.
CUCUCUCUACAGUUCUCUCUAUUUCGAUUCUCCCUCCCCUUCUCUCCCUCCCUCUUUCCAAUCAUUUGAUCUGUUCUUGCUCAUUUGCCACCUCUACAACCAAAAUGGACAGAAUCAAAACAUUCUUGCUCAUUUUCCACUGUUGCAACCAAAAGGGACGGACGAUCAAAGUGUUCUUGCUCAUUUUCCACCAUUGCAACCGAAAGGAACAGACGAUCAGAGGAUAUAUUCGGUAUAGGUAUCCAGAUAUCCACGGACAAUCAGAGAUGAAGUAUUGAACACCACCACAUAAGUCUUAGAUAGAUUGAUCAACAAAAGUGUUGGCAACAACAGGUACAUUUGAAGAAGGCAUCGUCAAUUUGAAGAAGACAUCAUUAAGAGUUCAUAGUUUAUCACAAGAGAGGUGUGUGGUGCUUUUAAAAAGGAAAGGAAGCACAAGAAAAGGCAGCUUGAGGACACAUUAAACCUUGUUUUGAAGAAGAGGAAGAGGAGAUGUUGUCAAUGGAGUUUUCUGCGGUUUGAGAAUACAGUACGGAAGGUAAUGCAAAAAUAGAUUGAAUUUGAACGAGGGAAAGGAAUGAAACAAGCUAAGGACAACUUAAACUAAAUCUACAAAGCCAAAAGUUGAGUAACUCGGACCU